UGAAUCUUACUGUUCAAUCACCCACUUCCCACACGCAACAAUAGCUCAUGGGUACCACAGAAAACUUUGCCAAAGUUCUCUGCCAAAGUUGAGCACGUGAAGCUUGCAGCUCCCACUACAUCGCUUUGACCAAGAAGGGUAAAAGAAUAGCAAAGAAACAGCACUAACAAAGUUUAGACCCAUAAAUUUUGAAGGUCUAGCUACCAUAUUAUUACCCACAAGGGUAAAGGAACAGUACCACUGCUGGAUAAUUGGAAAGUCCUUGUGUGUCAACCUCUGUGCUUCGUGGCAAGGUAGACUUGCAAACAUGCCCAACCUUUACUCACAUUCGAGAAAACAUUCCCAAUAAGAUUGCUUGCUCCAAAAUCGAAGAGGCACCGUCCUCCGAAUCUCGAGAGCCAGACUCCCAACAUGACUACUUUCUUAAAAAUCGAAGAUAGGGUAAAGGAACAGUACCAUUGCUGGAUAAUUGGAAAGUCCCUGUGUGUCAACCUCUGUGCUUCGUGGCAAGGUAGACUAGCAAACAUGCCCAACCUUUACUCACAUUCGAGAAAACACUCCCAACAAGAUUGCUUGCUCCAAAAUCGAAGAGGCACCGCCCUCCGAAUCUCGAGAGCCAGAUUCCCAACAUGAUUACUUUCUCAAAAAUCGAAGAGACACUGCUCCCCGAAUCUUCGAGAGCCAGACCCCUUGCAUGAUUGCUUUCUCAAAAAUCGAUGAGGCAUCGUUCUCCGAAUCAAUCGAAGAGGCGCUCGCUUUCUCAAAAGCUGGGCUGCUCAGAGACCAUGAGGGCCGAUCUCAGAAAUCAAAGAGGCACCUACUUUUCUAGCCUUGUCAGCACCUGUCACACGCACACUCAGCUUUGCAGAAAUUAUGGGCAUUCUGUCGAAGACUUCUGGUGAAGUAGAAAGCACAUGAAUCUUACUGUUCAAUCACCCACUUCCCACACGCAACAAUAGCUCAUGGGUACCACAUAUAACUUUGCAAAAGUUCUCUGCCAAAGUUGAGCACGUGAAGCUUGCAGCUCCCAUUACAUCGCUCUGACCAAGAAAGGUAAAAGAAUAGCAAAGAAACAGCACUAACAAAGUUUAGACACAUAAAUUUUGAAGGUCUAGCUACCAUAUUAUUACCCACAAGGGUAAAGGAACAAUACCACUGCUGGAUAAUUG
RNAcentral lists this long non-coding RNA (1169 nucleotides) under Malus domestica (apple). RNAcentral's name for it is "long non-coding RNA (MDOM_LNC017707)". The record is from RNAcentral. Lineage: Eukaryota; Viridiplantae; Streptophyta; Magnoliopsida; Rosales; Rosaceae.